UGAUAUCAUAGUGGUUGGAUUCAGACCUGGGAGUGUGAUCGCCUAUUUCGUUUCUCUACUACAAGGACAACAGUCCAUUGACGCAAAUACUCUUCAAGCAAAUUUAAGUAAAAUAGUAAAGAAUGUGUUUGGUAAUGAAACUGAAGUAACAGUACAAUCAAUCCCAACAUCUGAAACAAAUCUGGCCUGGAAAACAGCGGUGAUUGUCCUUGGAGUUCUACUUGGAGUUGCAUUAAUACUUGCUAUGCUGAUACUGGCAGUGUGCCUUUGGAUGAGGUCUACAGCUGGUGAAUAUUGGCUUGAACCUAAAGGACUCAUGGGAAAUUUUGCCUACCAUUACUUAUAAGCCUUUACUUUGACUUAUAAAUGAUUUCACACACUACCUUAAAAUAGAUUUAAUAGAGAGAUUUUAAUGUAUCUUUUUAUCUGAAGUACUUACAUGACACUCCGUGCCCCCCAUUACAGUUGUACCUGAGUGCCUCACAAUCUUUAAUGUAUUUAUCUUCACAACAGCUUUGUGAGGUAGGGAAGUGCUAUUAUCCUCAUUUUAUUAAGGAGGAACUGAGCCACAGAGAGACUAAGUGACCUACCCUGAGAAGUCUGUGGCAGAGCUCGGAGUUCCAUGCUAGUGACCCAAGGAAAUGAAAUGGCCAUAAAUGGCAGUUAUAGAUUAGAUAUGUGGUGUUAGAGUUAUAAACACAAAAGAGUUGAUGCUUCUACAGAAAUCACCAGCAACAUUUCCAUUGUCUUAAAUGGGAACAUGAUGAAGCCCACUAUUAUGGUCCAUAUUUUGCUCUUGGAAGUACUUAACUUCAAGGAGAGCUGUAUAUAUGCAUCUAAUGGCAGAACUUGACUCUUUGUGUGCCUGUGUGUUUACUACAUUCAUUUAGUUUUAACCCAUCACAUAAAUUCACUAUACAAAGUGUGGCUUGGCAUGUACCUACAUGUCUUACGCACAUCACAAAUGAACUUAUACAUAUGAAUAUUCUACACAACUCCAUGAUUAUCUUCUUUCGUUUUGACCAAUGAGCACAGUUUGCAAUAAACAAAUAAAAUCUUUAUAAAGUAUGUUGACU
This 1076-nucleotide long non-coding RNA is filed under the name Chrysemys picta bellii (western painted turtle). RNAcentral's name for it is "lncRNA (ENSCPBG00000012932.1)". Lineage: Eukaryota; Metazoa; Chordata; Testudines; Emydidae. The record is from RNAcentral.